AACGCGAAGAACCUUACCAGCUCUUGACAUGGGAAGUAUGGGCAGCGGAGACGUUGCUCUUCAGUUCGGCUGGCUUCCACACAGGUGCUGCAUGGCUGUCGUCAGCUCGUGUCGUGAGAUGUUGGGUUAAGUCCCGCAACGAGCGCAACCCUCAUCUUCAGUUGCCAUCAGGUUAAGCUGGGCACUCUAGCGAAACCGCCUCGGAUAACGGGGAGGAAGGUGGGGAUGACGUCAAGUCCUCAUGGCCUUUAUGUCCAGGGCUACACACGUGCUACAAUGGCCGGUACAAACCGUCGCAAACUCGCGAGAGGGAGCUAAUCGGAAAAAGCCGGCCUCAGUUCGGAUUGGAGUCUGCAACUCGACUCCAUGAAGCUGGAAUCGCUAGUAAUCGCGGAUCAGCACGCCGCGGUGAAUACGUUCCCGGGCCUUGUACACACCGGAGUA
RNAcentral lists this ribosomal RNA (444 nucleotides) under uncultured bacterium. RNAcentral's name for it is "bacterial SSU rRNA". It matches the Rfam family "Bacterial small subunit ribosomal RNA", at positions 958 to 1398 of the family's 1533-position model. The record is from RNAcentral.